Ictalurus punctatus (channel catfish) is the source of this 2576-nucleotide long non-coding RNA. The record is from Ensembl. Lineage: Eukaryota; Metazoa; Chordata; Actinopteri; Siluriformes; Ictaluridae.
GGGAGGGAGGGAGGGAGGGAGGGGGGAUUCGGGGGUGGAAGGAAAAGCGGGUCUUUCAGUGAAGGGAUGAUCAUUUCGUGUACAGUUGCACACAGCUGACCACAUGCUUUUUUUUUUUUCCUUUUCUUUUUCUUUUCUAUGCUAGUAAACACUGUGGCCAGUAAGGAGACGUCAUUUUAAAAUCUCCGUUCGACUUCUGAGUGACACGUUUUUUGCGCUUCUCAGCUAAUUCCUCCUCUCGUUAGAUUAACAUCACCUUCUUCCUCAUCGUCAUCGUAUGCAUAGUGUCGGUGCCAUUAAAGAUGUCCGCUUCCUGAAUCAUUGUAGAUCUGCGGCCACCUGUUUGGCCAGUCAAGUUCUCGUAGCUCAGUUUGAUGUUCUAAUAUGUGUCUGGUGGCGUGGUUUUUUUGAUUUGUUUUUGUUUUUUUUUUAUUUGUGGAAAUUGGAUUUGUGGAAUUUUUUGAUGUUUUAUUUUCUUAUGUCCUUUUACCUUCUUUCCCCUGGUUCUAUCUGUUACCACAGACUGUCUAAUAUCCCUAAUUUAUUAUUUAUCCUUAUUUCAAAAUUUGCCCUUUUCAAGUCGCUGAUGUGUAUCGUACGCUGUUGAGUCAGAGAUUAUGUGCAGCAUGUUUUUGUUGUUUUUGUUUGUUUGUUUGUUUGUUUGUUUGUUUUGUUUUUUUCCCCCCCUGGUAUAAGCAAUGAAUUAUUUCUACUUGUGGUCCUUUUUAUAAACAUAACCAUAGCUUUUUAAUUUAUACAAAUUCUUCUCUCACACCCUAACAUAUUUCAGAAGACAAAAAAAAAAGAUGGAAAAAAAUUCAGAUGAAUUGUUGAUACCAAACAAUUUAGAUGUUUUUUGGUAAUAUUUUGUGUGAUGACUGAUUUUUUUUUUUUCUUUGAUAUUUUCUAGUGGCAUCUCAUUUGUAAAUCUUUUUCUAAGAUGUUUCUUUGUGUUCAUGACAUUUAAAAAAAAGUUUUGGGUUUUUUUUGGCCAGGUUAGCCUGAAAGGCUCCAGUUUAUUGAUAUUUUUAAAAAAUAACUUUGUACAAAUGUGUUAUGUUAAUGGGUAAAAAAAAAAAAGGACAAAAAAGAGAAAGAUCUUUGCCUGCAUAACACUUGAAAUUAAAAGUGAAUAAAUCGGUCUUAAUUAUACCGUGUAUGAUUGUUACCGUAUUUUGAGAACGUCAAAAUACAACGUAUUGACAACGUAAUCUCUAUUUAUUGUACGUGUUAUGUGUAUGAUUACCACAGACAAGACUUUCAACACAAUUCCAUGUACUUUCUGCAUUUAAGGUUAUAGAAAAAAAAAGCUGACUAAAUUCAAAUAAAAUUCACUCAAUAAAAAAAUUUUUAGUUCACCUCAGCAGAAAGAACCCAGUUGGUUUGGGCCGAUUUCAUGAAGGUGGAUUCACAAUUCCCAGACGUGAGCCAAUAGAAAAGAAGUGGGCGGGACUGUGAUCUUUUUGUUCGAUAAAAAAUCGAGAAGCUGCUUAUGAUUAAGUAGCGCUUACACCACACUUUCUCCUCGUUGUUUUCGUCCUGCUUGGAGCACAUCUGGAAAAAAAAGUUAGCUGUCUUGUCCUCCAACACACUCUAGGGUUUUUGUACUUUUUUUUAUUUGUUUGUUUUUGUUUUCUCUCUGCCUGCUAGGAUUUUCUGUAACCAUAAAGUUCUAGAGAUGCUAGAGAAGUUGUUUAUAGUUUUAUCCAACUUUUCAACACUGGCUCGGCGUGGUAAAAGGUUACUUCACGGAUCAACGAGGGUUUUAUUGUAAGACGUAAACAAAAAUAUUUCCCUCUGAAACAGCGGUCUCGUUCCUGCAGCAAUGAAUUAUACAGACACUUAAUGCUCAUACACGUUUGGAUGAAAACUGGAGGAAGGAAUUCUUUAAGGAAUUCGUUUUUAAACAAGAUCCUAAAUGGAAAAUUUUUACUAAAGUGUAUAGAAUUACCAACCAGGGAAAUUUAGACACAAAAGCCCAAAGUUUUUUGGGGGGUCGCCCCCCCCCUUUAAAGUUACAAACAUUCAGUAUGAGCCGUCGAGAAUCCAGGUGAUAAUCCUAAUGCAUUCGUGUACACUACAACAAACACUAUCCACACCGUUACUUACAAUAGCAGACGUGAUCGUUGCCUUGAGAUCUUCAGUGUCUGUCACCCGAGUGGUCUACACAUGAUCUUCGAUGAGUCCCCAAAGAAAGAAAUUGCAGGGUGUGAUUUUGGGUGAUCUAGACCAAAACUCCAGCGCCAAUCUGUGAGAAUGCCAACUCAAAUAAAGAUGAACAAACUUCCCAAAAAUGUAACAUUGCCUUAUUAAAAAAGAUAACACGCACUGGUUGGUUUUUAUUUCGUAAAGAUACUUUUCAAAUUAUUCAAAUAAUGUCUUUUUCCUGUAUUAAUUUUUAUUGCCCGAGUUCAACAACUGCCCUUACACAUCCAUUAUAAGUGCUGGUCAUGUAAACCUUUGAUCAAGUAAACAAGCUAAACUUCUUAUCUGUGGUAAUCUCACAUAUGCUGCACGUACACAACAGGUAGAGAUUAGGUUAAGAAAAAAAAGGACAUAGGAGUUCUCCUUUAAUC